Molecule: long non-coding RNA, 1954 nt
Organism: Symphalangus syndactylus (siamang)
Lineage: Eukaryota; Metazoa; Chordata; Mammalia; Primates; Hylobatidae
Source: RefSeq, a predicted model, not a curated record
AUUCUUUUCUGGCUGCUGCCAGUCACACAAAGAGUCCCGGCUCGUGUGCGUGAGGCAGGACGUCCUUGUUCCGCGAGGCUGAUUUUGCCUUCGUCCCACUGCCAGGCUGCUCUCUGGCUGUUGCUGGAAGGGAGUGAAGCCCCCCCAUAUGCGUGUUUCCUCGUGGGCUUCCUGUGAUUGUGAGGGCCCCGGUUGCCGUGGCAACUGCCACGUGAGGAAAUUGUCGGAUAAGAUCAUAGCUUCUAGGAAUAGGACCUCAAGUGGUUGUUUGGGGAAAGUGACCCAGAUUGAGAUCCUCUUCGUCUAGCAGCCAGGUCAGACCCAUAAAGACCAGGCCUCAAGGGACAUUCUCAGAAGCCUCUUUCUCAAGCAACAGGAAAGCUCCGGAACUCCAUCCCGGCUCCCAGGCUACUAUUUCAUCCCUGCAGUGGGUGAAAUUCACUCCACGAGGAAGCACUGCAGUCACUCCCCAUGGAGGCUCUUCUUCCAAACUUUCAGCUCUCAGUGGUCAGGGAAGUCUGACCAUUUAUCAUCAUCAGAAAGCAUGAAACUUUCAGUAGAGGAUGGUUAAAAAUGUCCAGGAGCUGGGAGAUUAAGUAACUCGCCCAAAGUUGCACAGCCAAUAAAGCCCCACAUUGACCCAGCUGGUGGCUAGUGCCUUUUGUUAGAACAGAUUUAAAGCAGCUGUCCAUGAAGGGAAGCGAGCAGUGCGGUGGUUUGCUGCCUUUUGACCCCAUCUGCAGCCAGGAUGGCCAAGGCUCCUCUGCAGGAAGAGGCUGUCCCAGUGUCACCCAGAUCUUCACCCAUCCUCAGGUGGCACUGUCACUGGGAUCAGAAAACCAUUCUCCAGGUCAGGGACAACAUUCACAUCAUGACAAUCUGUAAGGCAUGGGCUGCAGGACAGCAGCCCCUUGUCUCAGAGCAGGGUUGUGGAGGAGACACAGUGCCCAUCACCUGCCCUUUCUUUGUCCCAGAGCAGAGGAGGGAAAUGACGAAUCUCAGUGCAGCAGCACGUUAUCCACUUGUGUGGCUGUGCUGCAGUAUUUUUCAUGACAGGUACAGCCACUCCAGUGAAAUCUGGCAGAAUAGAGUCCCAGGGAAAAGUAUGUGGGACAGCACUUGUGCUGGUGCAUCCAGGUGGCCUUCCCAGAAGCAGCCCUCCCUGCGGGUUCUCCCAUGCCAUCUGGGUUUUGUCAUGGUGGUUGCUGGCUCCAUUUUUAUCAUCCCACCUGUGCUCCAGUGAGGCCUGUAUUUAAUACUUCCCACCCAUCAGGCUGGGUGGGAGAAUACUGGCUCCGUCUUACAGAACAGAACAUCUAAGCUGCCUAAUGCUAGUAAGUCUCAACAUUUCAGUCUGGCUUUGCCCUGUCCCUGUGAUACUGUGGGACCUACGUUAAUGGUCAGGCCACCCCCUACUUUAUUCUCUGAGAGGAGCUUCGUCCUGGACGGUGAGGUGUGAAGAAUUACACCCAGUAGAGCAUUGCCUACCCUUUUGUGGUUCCCACUGCCAUCUAGAAAAAGCCACUGGACAGUGGACAGACCCAGUGUAAAGAAACAGAAAGUAAAACACACUGUAAAAUGUUCUGUUCGUGGGGUUCAGAUGAAUGUUCUAUCUCCCAUCCUGUGAGUUUCCAUAUUCAGCACUUUUUGCUUUUCAGCAGUAAAAGCAUUCUCUGUGGGAGGAGAAUUUAACUUUGAUCUUUAGAGAUGCCCUUUAAAUGUGGUUAUGGUCAAAAAAGUGACUGUGAAUACUCAAAGUCAACAGGCAAAGGUAAAUACCACGGGAGACCAGCACUGAACGGGAGGCCCAUGAGGCACAGAAGGCCAUGGCUCUGGAUUCUGUUACACGGCACAGUCCUGGGAGGACGCAGAGAUCCUCUUCUCCGCGCUCACUUAGGCUCAUACCCUUCAUUUGUAAAACGCCAUUAAAUAAAGUACUUUUGUCUGCAAAUAA